Molecule: ribosomal RNA, 651 nt
Filed under: uncultured Rhizophagus
Lineage: Eukaryota; Fungi; Glomeromycota; Glomeromycetes; Glomerales; Glomeraceae
Description: SSU rRNA
Rfam family: Eukaryotic small subunit ribosomal RNA
Source: RNAcentral
AAGCUCGUAGUUGAAUUUCGGGGUUAGUAGGUUGGUCAUGCCUCUGGCAUGUACUGGUCUCACUGAUUCCUCCUUCCUGAUGAACCGUAAUGCCAUUAAUUUGGUGUUGCGGGGAAUUUGGACUGUUACUUUGAAAAAAUUAGGGUGUUUAAAGCAAGCUAACGCUUGAAUACAUUAGCAUGGAAUAAUGAAAUAGGACGUUCGAUCCUAUUUUGUUGGUUUCUAGGAUUGACGUAAUGAUUAAUAGGGAUAGUUGGGGGCAUUAGUAUUCAAUUGUCAGAGGUGAAAUUCUUGGAUUUAUUGAAGACUAACUACUGCGAAAGCAUUUGCCAAGGAUGCUUUCAUUAAUCAAGAACGAAAGUUAGGGGACCGAAGACGAUCAGAUACCGUCGUAGUCUUAACCAUAAACUAUGCCGACUAGGGAUCGGAUGAUGUUAAUUUUUUAAUGACUCAUUCGGCGCCUUACGGGAAACCAAAGUGUUUGGGUUCCGGGGGGAGUAUGGUCGCAAGGCUGAAACUUAAAGGAAUUGACGGAAGGGCACCACCAGGGGUGGAGCCUGCGGCUUAAUUUGACUCAACACGGGGAAACUCACCAGGUCCAGACAUAGUGAGGAUUGACAGGUUGAGAGCUCUUUCUUGAUUCUAUGGGUG